This 253-nucleotide ribosomal RNA is filed under the name uncultured prokaryote. RNAcentral describes it as "partial 16S ribosomal RNA". It matches the Rfam family "Bacterial small subunit ribosomal RNA", at positions 524 to 776 of the family's 1533-position model. The record is from RNAcentral.
UACAGAGGUCUCAAGCGUUGUUCGGAUUCAUUGGGCGUAAAGGGUGCGUAGGUGGCGCGCUAAGUCAGGUGUGAAAUUUCGGAGCUUAACUCCGAAACUGCAUUUGAUACUGGCGUGCUUGAGGACUGGAGAGGAGACUGGAAUUCACGGUGUAGCAGUGAAAUGCGUAGAGAUGUGGAGGAACACCGAUGGCGAAGGCAGCCCCCUGGGCCGAUACUGACGCUCAUGCACGAAAGCGUGGGGAGCAAACAGG